GACGAACCGUGCGAACGUUGUUCGGAAUCACUGGGCUUAAAGGGCGCGUAGGCGGCCGGGUUGGUCGUGGGUGAAAUCCCCCAGCUUAACUGGGGAACUGCCUACGAUACUGCCUGGCUCGAGGGAGGAAGGGGCGGUCGGAACUGUCGGUGGAGCGGUGAAAUGCGUUGAUAUCGACAGGAACGCCGGUGGCGAAAGCGGACCGCUGGCCCUCUUCUGACGCUGAUGCGCGAAAGCCAGGGGAGCGAACGGG
This 253-nucleotide ribosomal RNA is filed under the name uncultured bacterium. Its description in RNAcentral is "partial 16S ribosomal RNA". It matches the Rfam family "Bacterial small subunit ribosomal RNA", at positions 524 to 776 of the family's 1533-position model. The record is from RNAcentral.